GACGAACGCUGGCGGCGUGCUUAACACAUGCAAGUCGAACGGAAAGGCCCCUUUGGGGGUACUCGAGUGGCGAACGGGUGAGUAACACGUGAGUAACCUGCCCUUUACUUCGGGAUAACUUCAGGAAACUGGGGCUAAUACCGGAUAGGAAUCCUUGCUGCAUGGUGGGGGUUGGAAAGCUUCGGCGGUUUUGGAUGGACUCGCGGCUUAUCAGCUUGUUGGUGGGGUAGUGGCUUACCAAGGCUUUGACGGGUAGCCGGCCUGAGAGGGCGACCGGCCACAUUGGGACUGAGAUGCGGCCCAGACUCCUACGGGAGGCAGCAGUGGGGAAUAUUGCACAAUGGGCGGAGGCCGGAUGCAGCAACGCCGCGUGCGGGAUGACGGCCUUCGGGUUGUAAAACGCUUGCAGCAGGGGCGAAGCUUUUGUGACGGUACCUGCAGAAGAAGCACCGGCUAACUACGUG
Molecule: ribosomal RNA, 464 nt
Filed under: uncultured bacterium
Lineage: Bacteria
Description: partial 16S ribosomal RNA
Rfam family: Bacterial small subunit ribosomal RNA
Source: RNAcentral